This 202-nucleotide long non-coding RNA is filed under the name Lathyrus oleraceus (garden pea). RNAcentral describes it as "Pisum sativum (pea) long non-coding RNA (PSAT_LNC038271)". The record is from RNAcentral. Lineage: Eukaryota; Viridiplantae; Streptophyta; Magnoliopsida; Fabales; Fabaceae.
UGAGGUGGUGAAGAGUGGAGAGGCUCCCGGUUGGGGUAGAAUGAUGGAUGUCUCCACAAAGAAGGACCGCUUCGGAGUGGGUUACCAGCCUGGCAGAGGCUCAUCUGGACAAGGAAGAGGACGCCGUACGUCAGUCACCUUCACUAGUGCCGGAAUGCUGGAUCCGGAUCACAUCUGCAUGAUGAGUGAUGAAGCUGACAGC